AAUAUUGGACAAUGGGGGCAACCCUGAUCCAGCCAUGCCGCGUGUGUGAAGAAGGUCUNCGGAUUNUNAAGCACUUUAAGUUGGGNGGAAGGGCUUUGGGUUCAUACCCUGAAGUUUUGACGUUACCAACAGAAUAAGCACCGGCUAACUCUGUACCAGCAGCCGCGGUAAUACAGAGGGUGCAAGCGUUAAUCGGAAUUACUGGGCGUAAAGCGCGCGGAGGUGGUUCAGUAAGAAGGGGGUGAAAUCCCCGGGCCUAACCUGGGAACCGCUUUCAUAACUGCUGAGCUAGAGUACGGUAGAGGGUAGUGGAAUUUCCUGUGUAGCGGUGAAAUGCGUAGAUAUAGGAAGGAACACCAGUGGCGAAGGCGACUACCUGGACUGUUACUGACACUGAGGUGCGAAAGCGUGGGGAGCAAAC
This 421-nucleotide ribosomal RNA is filed under the name uncultured bacterium. Its description in RNAcentral is "partial 16S ribosomal RNA". It matches the Rfam family "Bacterial small subunit ribosomal RNA", at positions 360 to 773 of the family's 1533-position model. The record is from RNAcentral.